AAAGUUUUAAGUUAUAAAAACUAUAAGCCUUCAAAGCUAAAAAAACUAAAUGUAAACUUUA
This 61-nucleotide transfer RNA is filed under the name Halotydeus destructor. RNAcentral's name for it is "tRNA-Trp". Lineage: Eukaryota; Metazoa; Arthropoda; Arachnida; Trombidiformes; Penthaleidae. The record is from RNAcentral.